RNAcentral lists this unclassified non-coding RNA (202 nucleotides) under plant metagenome. RNAcentral describes it as "partial contains small subunit ribosomal RNA and internal transcribed spacer 1". The stretch from base 1 to 46 matches the Rfam family "Eukaryotic small subunit ribosomal RNA", at positions 1786 to 1831 of the family's 1831-position model. The record is from RNAcentral.
AAGUCGUAACAAGGUUUCCGUAGGUGAACCUGCGGAAGGAUCAUUCAUAAUAAGUGUUUUACUGCACUUUUUUAAACAAGUACUCACCUUGUGUGCAAUGUUUGUUGUCGUGUCGUUUACGCGUCGCGGCAGCCAUAAUACCAACCCUUUAUUGUAAUUUUUUUUGUCUGAAGCUAUUUCGAAUAAUUAAUUCUAAAUACAA